UGGGGAAUUUUGGACAAUGGGCGCAAGCCUGAUCCAGCUAUGCCGCGUGCAGGAAGAAGGCCUUCGGGUUGUAAACUGCUUUUGUCAGGGAAGAAAUCCUUGGGCUAAUACCCCGGAGGGAUGACGGUACCUGAAGAAUAAGCACCGGCUAACUACGUGCCAGCAGCCGCGGUAAUACGUAGGGUGCGAGCGUUAAUCGGAAUUACUGGGCGUAAAGCGUGCGCAGGCGGCUUUGCAAGACAGAUGUGAAAUCCCCGGGCUCAACCUGGGAACUGCAUUUGUGACUGCAAGGCUAGAGUGCGGCAGAGGGAGAUGGAAUUCCGCGUGUAGCAGUGAAAUGCGUAGAUAUGCGGAGGAACACCGAUGGCGAAGGCAAUCUCCUGGGCCUGCACUGACGCUCAUGCACGAAA
This 410-nucleotide ribosomal RNA is filed under the name uncultured bacterium. RNAcentral describes it as "partial 16S ribosomal RNA". It matches the Rfam family "Bacterial small subunit ribosomal RNA", at positions 355 to 758 of the family's 1533-position model. The record is from RNAcentral.